This is a long non-coding RNA of Alligator mississippiensis (American alligator), 2600 nucleotides long. RefSeq lists it as uncharacterized. The transcript is spliced from 3 exons. The record is from RefSeq and is a predicted model, not a curated record. NCBI's taxonomy places the organism in Eukaryota, Metazoa, Chordata, Crocodylia, Alligatoridae.
UCUGUAAUUUAGGUAAAACAUUUUAUUUCUACCCUUUUUAUGAAUUACACCUCUUACAGAGCUAACUGUACUGCAAACUUGUCACCACACACACCCCAAGAGGUUUGAUACCUGGGUCAUUCACCAGAUCAUGGUGUGGAAUUAUUUAGUUCACUAACUCUUAGACCUGGACCUCAGAGUAUCAAUCAUGACUACCUGUUGAAUUAGGAUUCUCCAAAAGUUUCUCUUCUUGGAUUCAUGACAGCAGUCGAUCAAACAGGUGCAAAAAAGUUUCAUAAUAAAACACAUGGGGCCAAUGCUAAGAACAAGAACAACUUGUCUUGCAUGUAUACUUUGUUACCAGAGAUUAAUCUUUCUAGCUGUAGUUCAGGCAUGUCUGGCUUCUUCCCUGGCUGGGUUGGGGAGAACAGCCUACACUACCUGCAGCAUGUUCCCCCUGGUCUGAGUUAGGCUUCCUAACCUGUCUCAACCUAUUAGUUCCCAACCUAUUAGUGACUCCAUCUAAGCAGCCUCUCUUGAAUUUACCCCAACCCCUCCUUUUUCUGCAGUCAAGCCUUUCUAAAUAUUUAGAAUAUUCUUUGAAUUUAGGCUCAUGUUAAAGCAGAAAACAUGCUAGCUAAACUUCAGCCAAUCAAAAAAAAUCCCCACUGAUGGCUCAAUCGUUCUUCUCCUCUGAUGCUGUCAUACCUCAGUCACUAUUUUAACUUUGCUGCUCACUUUAAUAACCUCUUUACAACUUCCUUUUAUUUACCUUUUCACUUAACUUAGGUAACUGAACAGGCAGCCAUGAAUAAACAUAAAAAUACAAAUGUGUUCCCCAUUCAUGCAGGCUAAAGUUGAAUCAAGCACUAAACCUUGCCUGUAUUCACUUUCACAAAUGACACAACUUCUCUCUCAAACUGCAAAAUUUACAGGAAGAAAAAAUUCCAUUGUAUAUUUAUUAUAUCUACCUUCAGUGCAUAUGGAAACCUAAAACACUUGCAUAUGUUACUGGCUAACAUGAGAACUACCCUUAAUUAACAAAGGCACCAAAGUAAAACAAGCAGGUGGAAGGAAGAAUUUUCUCAUUUUAUAUUCCAAAAACGAUGCUUCUUUCAUUGAACUUCUUGAUCAAGUGCAUGGGAUAUUUUAAAGUACAAUUCCAAAGCACAUAAUAAUUAAAGCAAAAAUAGAAUUGCUAUUCCAGUUGGACUAUAUCAUCUAAAGGUAGCCUAUGAACUUCUUUGGAAAAUGCAACUGGACAGUGCUGUACCGAAUGGCUUACAUAUUAAGAAAUAUGAGGAGAAUGUUUAGUUUCCCCUUAGUUUCUGGAUACAUACACAGAUCUGAAGGCCUGAAAAAUGGCAUGUCACUGCAAAAAAAAAUUAGUGAACACCCAUGCUGUAAGGCUUUUCAAACAUUUAACUUGUUGUAAACCAAAUUUUUCAGAUAGAGCAAAGCUGUUUUCUCCAAGGAUGAAGCUCAAGAUAAGUGUAAUGCCCUCUGUGUACUUGGAUUUAAAAACCUCCAUUUUUUAAUAUGGAAAAAAAACCCAUUUCACUUGUCAAAUUAUUGUAAACCUAAACUUUUAGUUAACUUUUGAAAAAACAAGUCACAGGUGGGCCAAGAGCUUAAGUAAUUUUAUUUUAAAUGUUUAAAUCGAUUGGCUAAAAUAUGGAGAUUCAUUUCCUCAAACACAAAUGAAGAUAUGUUUCCUGUUAUUACACUCAGGUUCACUACAAUGCUACAACUAUCAAGACAGCAAAACCAAGGACUGCCACAAAAUUAACUUUCUACCAGAUUAAAUGCUAUUUUCCUUUGAAAGAAACAAGGCAACUUUAGGAUGUCAUGUAAAAAUAACAUCCUUACCUUUAAAUGGUUUGGGAAAUGUGACUUUUUUUCCCCUUCUCUUUAUUCCUCUGAGGCCCUUAGAUUGGAGGCAGCACUUUGCAAGAUCAUUUUUUAGUCUGUGCAGGCUCUUCCUACCUGCUUUGCAUUUUGCUGGAAGUUAGUGAUAUUUUAAUGAAGGUUUGCACUUUUGGUGCUUGGUUUGCAGGGUGUUCAUAUGGAGGCAUGAAAAGGAAGUUCUCUAAGAGCAUGAACUCAACAAAAAAUAUGAUUUUACUACUCUGCUCUAAAAUUUUGCUUAGACAGAAAGCCAAGCUUGAAGCUUCCACUUCAAAGUCAGAUCUAAGCAACAGCACCCAAGUCUGCCAUUCCAGGUCCUUCAAAGCCAAGCCAAGCCAAGCCAUGUUCCAGGCCAGCCCUGUCCAGUUGCUUUGCUAUUUAUUAUGCUAUGGCAUCAGGACUACUUCCAGAGCUAACCCACUGACUGACAAAUUCCUCCAUCCCCAAUUAUGUGGUGUGCAUGGCCAGAGAUCAACAGUUACUCUGGGGAGCUUACAGUAGUCCGUGAGGCAACUGGGUAAAAUUCGACAUCACAGCAAGUUGUUCUGCUGCAGAACAGAAGUCAUCCCUCUGUGGGACAAAGACUGCACAAACAUUUGCACAGAAUGGUCAUGCAAAGAACACCUCCUCAAUGGUCCUGUAUUUCACACUACAUAAGAAAAAUGUAAACUCUGAAGGAGGCCAGUGUGAAUUAAACUAAAUAUAAAGUGUGA